RNAcentral lists this ribosomal RNA (729 nucleotides) under Microbacterium sp. Its description in RNAcentral is "bacterial SSU rRNA". It matches the Rfam family "Bacterial small subunit ribosomal RNA", at positions 775 to 1500 of the family's 1533-position model. The record is from RNAcentral. Lineage: Bacteria; Bacillati; Actinomycetota; Actinomycetes; Micrococcales; Microbacteriaceae.
GGAUUAGAUACCCUGGUAGUCCACCCCGUAAACGUUGGGAACUAGUUGUGGGGACCAUUCCACGGUUUCCGUGACGCAGCUAACGCAUUAAGUUCCCCGCCUGGGGAGUACGGCCGCAAGGCUAAAACUCAAAGGAAUUGACGGGGACCCGCACAAGCGGCGGAGCAUGCGGAUUAAUUCGAUGCAACGCGAAGAACCUUACCAAGGCUUGACAUAUACGAGAACGGGCCAGAAAUGGUCAACUCUUUGGACACUCGUAAACAGGUGGUGCAUGGUUGUCGUCAGCUCGUGUCGUGAGAUGUUGGGUUAAGUCCCGCAACGAGCGCAACCCUCGUUCUAUGUUGCCAGCACGUAAUGGUGGGAACUCAUGGGAUACUGCCGGGGUCAACUCGGAGGAAGGUGGGGAUGACGUCAAAUCAUCAUGCCCCUUAUGUCUUGGGCUUCACGCAUGCUACAAUGGCCGGUACAAAGGGCUGCAAUACCGUAAGGUGGAGCGAAUCCCAAAAAGCCGGUCCCAGUUCGGAUUGAGGUCUGCAACUCGACCUCAUGAAGUCGGAGUCGCUAGUAAUCGCAGAUCAGCAACGCUGCGGUGAAUACGUUCCCGGGUCUUGUACACACCGCCCGUCAAGUCAUGAAAGUCGGUAACACCUGAAGCCGGUGGCCCAACCCUUGUGGAGGGAGCCGUCGAAGGUGGGAUCGGUAAUUAGGACUAAGUCGUAACNAGGGUAA